Molecule: ribosomal RNA, 253 nt
Filed under: Fusicatenibacter saccharivorans
Lineage: Bacteria; Bacillati; Bacillota; Clostridia; Lachnospirales; Lachnospiraceae
Description: partial 16S ribosomal RNA
Rfam family: Bacterial small subunit ribosomal RNA
Source: RNAcentral
UACGUAGGGGGCAAGCGUUAUCCGGAUUUACUGGGUGUAAAGGGAGCGUAGACGGCAAGGCAAGUCUGAUGUGAAAACCCAGGGCUUAACCCUAGGACUGCAUUGGAAACUGUCUGGCUCGAGUGCCGGAGAGGUAAGCGGAAUUCCUAGUGUAGCGGUGAAAUGCGUAGAUAUUAGGAAGAACACCAGUGGCGAAGGCGGCUUACUGGACGGUAACUGACGUUGAGGCUCGAAAGCGUGGGGAGCAAACAGG